RNAcentral lists this ribosomal RNA (433 nucleotides) under uncultured bacterium. RNAcentral's name for it is "partial 16S ribosomal RNA". It matches the Rfam family "Bacterial small subunit ribosomal RNA", at positions 29 to 507 of the family's 1533-position model. The record is from RNAcentral.
AGCGAACGCUGGCGGCAGGCCUAACACAUGCAAGUCGAACGGAUCCUUCGGGAUUAGUGGCGGACGGGUGAGUAACACGUGGGAACGUGCCCUUUGGUUCGGAACAACUCAGGGAAACUUGAGCUAAUACCGGAUGUGCCCUUCGGGGGAAAGAUUUAUCGCCAUUGGAGCGGCCCGCGUCUGAUUAGCUAGUUGGUGAGGUAACGGCCCACCAAGGCGAUGAUCAGUAGCUGGUCUGAGAGGAUGAUCAGCCACACUGGGACUGAGACACGGCCCAGACUCCUACGGGAGGCAGCAGUGGGGAAUCUUGCGCAAUGGGCGAAAGCCUGACGCAGCCAUGCCGCGUGAAUGAUGAAGGUCUUAGGAUUGUAAAAUUCUUUCAGCGGGGACGAUAAUGACGGUACCCGCAGAAGAAGCUCCGGCUAACUUCGUG